This 376-nucleotide ribosomal RNA is filed under the name uncultured bacterium. Its description in RNAcentral is "bacterial SSU rRNA". It matches the Rfam family "Bacterial small subunit ribosomal RNA", at positions 524 to 898 of the family's 1533-position model. The record is from RNAcentral.
GACAGAGGUCCCGAGCGUUAGGCGGAAUCACUGGGCUUAAAGCGUGUGUAGGCGGAUGCCUAAGUACCUUGUGAAAUCCCACGGCUCAACCGUGGAACUGCUUGGUAUACUGGGUGUCUUGAGCCACUUAGGGGCUACCGGAACAAAUGGUGGAGCGGUGAAAUGCGUAGAUAUCAUUUGGAACGCCAAUGGUGAAAACAGGUAGCUGGGAGUGUGCUGACGCUGAGACACGAAAGCCAGGGGAGCGAACGGGAUUAGAUACCCCGGUAGUCCUGGCUGUAAACGAUGUCGACUAGAUCGUGGUGGCUCUGACGCCUUCACGGUCGAAGCAAAAGUGCUAAGUCGACCGCCUGGGAAGUACGGUCGCAAGGCUAAA